Molecule: RNA transcript, 725 nt
Organism: Myotis lucifugus (little brown bat)
Lineage: Eukaryota; Metazoa; Chordata; Mammalia; Chiroptera; Vespertilionidae
Gene name: tight junction-associated protein 1 pseudogene
Exons: 1
Source: RefSeq, a predicted model, not a curated record
AGAGGUAGCGACCUGCCAAAGCCCAACCCCAAAGCGGCUCCGGAGUUGGGCUGCUCACAAAUCAAGUUGUCUGUUUAUAUGGAGUGCCUGGAGGGUGUCUGCCAUGAGUCUGUCACUAACCGUGCUAACCAGGAGAGCUGGCUGGUUGGGGAGAAGACACUAACCCUGAGCUUUUGGCAAGAGGAAGGGGAGGGGCCGUGGGAUGCGGAGAGGCAAAGGCUAACUCCCGGACAGCAGAACAGAGCAAGCUGCUGACAAACAGACGCAGGUUGAGGAGCCCUCACCUCCCAGAAUGACCAGUGCGACCCCUGCUAAGAAACCCUACGGCAAAGCACCGCCUGAGCAUCAGGAGAUGCGGCUGGAAGCUCCUGGGUCCCAGCUUGAGCAGCAGGAGUCCCUGACUGACGCAGAGAGGAUGAAGCUGUUGCAGCAGGAGAAUGAAGAGCUUCGCAGGCGCCUGGCCUUGGCCACCAGGCGCACCGAGGCCCUGGAGCGAGAGCUGGAAAUUGGGCAGGACUGCCUGGAGCUGGAGCUGGGCCAGAGCCGCGAGGAGAUGGACAAAUUUAAGGACAAGUUCCGCAGGCUGCAGAACAGCUACACAGCUUCCCAGAGGACCAACCAGGAGCUGGAGGACAAGCUGCACACGCUGGUAACCUGUCCAAGAGGGCAGUCUGGCUGGCACUGUGCUCACAGCAUAGCAGGGGGCUAGGACUUGCCAAGGGAAU